This 330-nucleotide ribosomal RNA is filed under the name Triticum aestivum (bread wheat). RNAcentral's name for it is "partial small subunit ribosomal RNA". The record is from RNAcentral. Lineage: Eukaryota; Viridiplantae; Streptophyta; Magnoliopsida; Poales; Poaceae.
AUCUCUAGAUUCAAUUACACGGUGCUCACUCUCAUUCCUAAGGUCAAAGGUGCUGACUUGAUCUCCCAGUUUAGGCCCAUUGCCUUAAUUAACAACUUUGCGAAGAUCCCGGCUAAGGGUCUGGCUACCAGGCUUUCUCCGAUCUCCCAUCGCGUCAUUAGCCCUUUCCAAUCGGCGUUUAUAAAGGGUAGAUUUAUUCUGGAUGGUGUUCUAUGCUUGCAUGAGAUUGUCCAUGACUUGCGAACCAAGGGCACUAAGGCAGUGGUUCUUAAACUUGACUUCGAGAAGGCUUAUGACUCGGUGAGCUGGAAUUUUCAUCGCCAAGUCCUU